RNAcentral lists this ribosomal RNA (429 nucleotides) under uncultured bacterium. RNAcentral describes it as "bacterial SSU rRNA". It matches the Rfam family "Bacterial small subunit ribosomal RNA", at positions 355 to 775 of the family's 1533-position model. The record is from RNAcentral.
UGGGGAAUUGUUCGCAAUGGGCGCAAGCCUGACGACGCAACGCCGCGUGGAGGAUGAAGAUCUUCGGGUCGUAAACUCCUUUCGAUCGGGAAGAAUGUUUCGGGGGUGAAUACUCCCCGAAAGUGACGGUACCGAGAGAAGAAGCCCCGGCUAACUCCGUGCCAGCAGCCGCGGUAAUACGGGGGGGGCAAGCGUUGUUCGGAAUUACUGGGCGUAAAGGGCGUGUAGGCGGCCAACUAAGUCCGACGUGAAAUCCCUAGGCUUAACCUAGGAACUGCGUCGGAUACUGGAUGGCUUGAAUCCGGGAGAGGGAUGCGGAAUUCCAGGUGUAGCGGUGAAAUGCGUAGAUAUCUGGAGGAACACCGGUGGCGAAGGCGGCAUCCUGGACCGGUAUUGACGCUGAAGCGCGAAAGCCAGGGGAGCAAACGG